This is a long non-coding RNA of Brachypodium distachyon (stiff brome), 2271 nucleotides long. RefSeq lists it as uncharacterized. The transcript has 5 exons. Lineage: Eukaryota; Viridiplantae; Streptophyta; Magnoliopsida; Poales; Poaceae. The record is from RefSeq and is a predicted model, not a curated record.
GGUAUGGUACAAUGGUAGGCUCUACUAAUAUUGAUAUGGGCCUUUGGCUGCCGACGCCGGCUGCCCUGCCAGGAUUCGGCCCAAACCUUCCCUCGUGAGGUGGCCCUCUUGGCCUUAUGGAUCUGCUAGCCACGAUGGCGCAUCCUGAUUCCUGAAGGAUUGUGGUUUCCGGAUGUUCAGCAAAUUGUUGCUCAGGCAGCGCAAGCCCGUGAGUGACCUUGGUCAAAUGGAGCCUGGAGGAGUAGUGGAUUCUGGUUGCUGGAUGUUCUCACGGAAGGUCCUCGUGAAACCGAACUGAUCCCCACUAUGCCUGCAAGCUGUUCGACCAUAUGCGUGUUAUGUGGCAAAUUAAGCAAAUGCAGCUGCACAGUGGGAGCCCCCUUGCAGUCUACAAACUCCGUAUGAGCUGCUGUACUGGCAUUUCAGUUUAGGCAUUUAAAGGAAGGUCUAAUACAAGAUGUAAAAGCCUGCUUAUUAGAAAAUGUUUGGGGAUAUAAUAACGUGGAAAGGAGAUGUUCUGAACUUCUGCUCGUGUUGAUUCAAAAUCUGUCAGAGCUAGAGCAGAAGGGUUGUGCUUUAUUCAAUUAGUAUUAAGUUCAGAAAUGUGCAUGUGCUAGGAGCAACCAUGCAAGGUAGAAAAGUAUUAUCACUGUGGUACCAGACAAUAUAUACUCGUUCAAAUUUCUGAGAACGAACAACAUGGUUAACUAUUUAAGUUUGUAGGGUUCUGGAAAAAGGUGGUUUAAUUUUUUAUACCUUGUAUAUUUUGUUGUAUACAUUCAGUGUUCUCAGAACACACGUUUAAACUACAGUGAAUAUUCUCUUUCUUUAACUAAUGCCAUAUUAAACAAAGGACACAUACUAGCUUUUAUUUUGAGUAAAGUGAUAUAAUUUUCGACAACAGAUGCAUAUUUAGAGAAAUGAAAAUAAGUUACUCCUUUUUCGUUUGGUUGCGAAAUAUUUGCAUAACCCAUCACAUGAAAAUUGUGAUUUUCUUUUAAGUGAUUAGAUGUGGACACAUAAUUAGUGAAAUGAGAAAUUUGGUAUUGGAGCUUUUUAUAACAACUGCACAUGCACUUCCGGACACAGGCUUGAUUUGUACGCUUAUACUUAAGCUUGACAUAUUCAGUAUGAUGCACGAAGUAUGUAGAAAUAGAAGCUUCGUAUUUAUAUUAAUUCAAAUUUAUUGUAAAGAAAUAGUACUCAAAUGCAUACAUUAACUUUCAUUACCAUGCUCAUUUUAAGUUUCUCAUAGUAGCAUAAUAAAAAUUCUCAUCGAAGUGUUUAUAUAUGUUAGUUGACUAAUUUCCUAUCACAAUUAUGUACCUGGUAGUCGCUGCCACAUUCCUUGAGUUCAUUGUUGAAGGUGUUGAGGAGUGUUGUCUUGCCAACCCCUCCUGGGCCCCAAACUCCAAUGAUGCCCAGGUUGCUGUUGUUGAAAAAUUUCCGGAGAUCCUUCAGCACAGGGUUCAGGCCAAAGGCUUGUAUCCGUGGUCGCUCCUCGACCAAGUCUGGCAAAGGCUUGUAUCCAAAUACCUUAAAUUGGUUCCCUUCCUCGAUUAACCCUGCAAGGUCCUCCAGAACAUUGAGAAUACGCUUGCCAAGGCGAUAACGUUUGCCGAGGCUUAGAGAAGAACUGCAGAAGCAAGAGUAUUGCAUGAGUUGAUCACACUCUUGGUUGAUAUCAUCAACUUGGAUGGGGACCUCAUCAACCCUUCUCAGCCAUAAUUUAACUAGAGGAUGGCACUUGUUGAGCUGGUUGGUUUCGAGGCUAACUUGUUCUUGAACCACCUUAUCAACAGCUUGCAGGUCUUCAAUGGCCUUUGUAAGGGCUUUCCGGUUGCGCUUGAUGCAAAUGAAAGAAGAGAAAUGUCUUGCAGUGGCUGCUGGUACCCCCGUGUUAUUGAUGAAGCCACACACAGGCUGCAGAACUGCACAGAUCAUGAUAGGAUCUGCCAUACGGGUGUUAUGUGAGGAAUAUGGAUAUCAGGAUAUAACUCAAUGGUUCAAGCAACCGAGAGAGAAAGGCGGAGGCGUGUCUCAUGCAGCAAUGAGGUGGUACCUAUGAAAUUCCAAGAACUACCCGCCCAGCAGAUGAUAACGGAGUCUGUUGAUUCGGACACACAUCAUCAGGUUUAUCCAUUGAUAUCCAGUCAGAUACGUGUCCAUGUAUCAUCACAUUUACCUCGAAUCCUUGAUGGGCACCUUUCUGAAAGAUUCUUACGAACCAAUAUUAUAAAGGAAGACCAAGACUGGUCCGAUUCCGAUACA